UCGGAACGCCGAGACGUCGUUGGAGGCGGCGAGAUCGCUUCUGACGACGUCGCGAUGAUUGCAAUAGAAAGUAAGGCAGAGCUGGUGACAAAAAAAAUUAUAAAAAAAAAUAAGAAUAAUAAAAAAUAAAAAAAUUAUUUUUUUUCUACAGAAAAGAUAAAAAAUAUAGGAGAAGAAAGAAGAUGAUGAAAUUUCACUCUUAAAAAAUAUUACACUGUUUUAAAAAAAAUUUGC
Molecule: long non-coding RNA, 234 nt
Filed under: Ananas comosus (pineapple)
Lineage: Eukaryota; Viridiplantae; Streptophyta; Magnoliopsida; Poales; Bromeliaceae
Description: long non-coding RNA (ACOM_LNC014695)
Source: RNAcentral